GACGAACGCUGGCGGCGUGCUUAACACAUGCAAGUCGAACGAUGAAACCUAGCUUGCUAGGUCGAUUAGUGGCGAACGGGUGAGUAACACGUGACUAACCUGCCCCUUUCUCUGGGAUAACGCUCCGAAAGGAGUGCUAAUACCGGAUACUCACAUCGAGGCACAUGCCUUGGUGUGGAAAGUUUUUCGGAAAGGGAUGGAGUCGCGGCCUAUCAGCUUGUUGGUGAGGUAACGGCGCACCAAGGCGACGACGGGUAGCCGGCCUGAGAGGGCGACCGGCCACACUGGGACUGGGACACGGCCCAGACUCCUACGGGGGGCAGCAGUGGGGAAUAUUGCACAAUGGGCGCAAGCCUGAUGCAGCGACGCCGCGUGAGGGAUGAAGGUCUUCGGAUUGUAAACCUCUUUCAGUAGGGACGAAGCGAAAGUGACGGUACCUAAAGAAGAAGCACCGGCUAACUACGUGCCAGCCGCCGCGGUAA
RNAcentral lists this ribosomal RNA (482 nucleotides) under uncultured bacterium. RNAcentral describes it as "partial 16S ribosomal RNA". It matches the Rfam family "Bacterial small subunit ribosomal RNA", at positions 28 to 523 of the family's 1533-position model. The record is from RNAcentral.